UAAAUAUUUUAAAAAAAACAACUCAGGGUGCAGAAUGGUGUAUGUAGUAUAUUUCUUUUAAGCAAAUACAAAUGAUGUCACACACUUAAUAAUAUCUAUAUAGAGACUGAUAGAUAUGUUUGUGUGUGUGUGUGUGUGUGUAGGUGUUGGCAAGUAUGUCCACUAACAGUAGCCACCUCUAG
RNAcentral lists this small RNA (182 nucleotides) under Marmota monax (woodchuck). The record is from RNAcentral. Lineage: Eukaryota; Metazoa; Chordata; Mammalia; Rodentia; Sciuridae.